GACGAACGCUGGCGGCGUGCCUAAUACAUGCAAGUCGAACGCAGUGGGGACGGGUGAGUAACACGUGGGUAACCUCCCCAGCAGAGGGGAUAACACUUGGAAACAGGUGCUAAACCGAUAUUGACGGAUGGACCCGCUGUGCAUUAGCUAGUUGGUGGGGAAACGGCGCACCAAGGCCACGAUGCAUAGCCGACUUGAGAGGGUGAUCGGCCACACUGGGACUGAGACACGGCCAAGACUCCUACGGGAGGCAGCAGUAGGGAAUGUUGGGCAAUUGACGAAAGUCUGAACGAGCAACGCCGCGUGAGUGAAGAAGGUUUUCGGAUCGUAAAACUCUGUUGUUAGAGAAGCGGUAUCUAACCAGAAAGCCACGGCUAACUACGUGCCAGCAGCCGCGGUAAUUC
Molecule: ribosomal RNA, 404 nt
Filed under: uncultured bacterium
Lineage: Bacteria
Description: partial 16S ribosomal RNA
Rfam family: Bacterial small subunit ribosomal RNA
Source: RNAcentral